CUUAGGCUGGAAUGUGUGACGUCACUCGCUGGUUUUAUUAAAUUGAUUGACGAGGGACAUUAUCUGUGUAAUAGAUAUUCAAGUCAUUUAUUCAGGAGAGCGUCAGUGAUAAUUGGACAGAAUGGCUCCAACAAUAAUCGUCAAGAAAGCCUUCGUAACCUCCUCGACGGAUCUCCAUUUUCUGCAGCAAAUGAUUUCCCCAACAGGCCUUGAAGAACAAAACUGAGGAAAUGGAUCUGGAGGGUGACUAUAAAAAAGGAGGUUAUGGUAAUCCGGAAGGAGAGGUGGACUAAAAUAUUAAAGAUGAUUAAGACUUGA
Molecule: long non-coding RNA, 318 nt
Organism: Macrobrachium nipponense
Lineage: Eukaryota; Metazoa; Arthropoda; Malacostraca; Decapoda; Palaemonidae
Exons: 2
Source: RefSeq, a predicted model, not a curated record